Molecule: ribosomal RNA, 290 nt
Filed under: uncultured bacterium
Lineage: Bacteria
Description: partial 16S ribosomal RNA
Rfam family: Bacterial small subunit ribosomal RNA
Source: RNAcentral
GACGAACGCUGGCGGCGUGCCUAAUACAUGCAAGUCGAACGGUCUUUUCUAUGGAAGCUUGCUUCCGCUGAGAAGAUAGUGGCGAACGGGUGAGUAACACGUGGGUAACCUGCCCAUAAGAGGGGGAUAACAUCCGGAAACGGGUGCUAAUACCGCAUGAGACCACAGAGCUGCCUGGCUCAGGGGUCAAAGGAGGGAUCCGGUGAGAGAUGGGCUCGCGUCCUAUUAGAUAGUUGGUGGGGUAACGGCCUACCAAGUCAACGAUGGGUAGCCGACCUGAGAGGGUGAUC